Cyprinus carpio carpio is the source of this 1067-nucleotide long non-coding RNA. The record is from Ensembl. Lineage: Eukaryota; Metazoa; Chordata; Actinopteri; Cypriniformes; Cyprinidae.
GUGCACAUGAGGAGCAAAUAAAGUGAACUGUGCAAAGCUCUGAGAUUCUGAAGAAACCUGAAGGAAAAAGUUACAGAUAGCUUUGGAGUGUAGGAGGCGCUGCUUACUGUUCGCUGAAGCCCUUUUGGGUACUGUAACAGAGUCAACAACAUCCACAGCACCAGACCCCAGCAGUACACUCUGCCCACUCGUUCACAGUCAGAGAUCUGAUCACCUGCAACUGUCACAUCCAAUCAGCACAGACUAUAUAAACCGCACACCUCAUUCCACUGUUGUCUGGUCUCGUUGUUCCUACCUGAACACUAUCUGACCAAUUACCUGCAUGGACUUACCUUCUUCUGAAUCCGACCUCUGGAUCCAGCUCUCCAACACCAGUUCUACCAGAAAGACUCAGGGAGGUAAAAAUAAGACUGAAGUAUUUAUUUACAACAACACAAAAAAUAUAAUUAUUUUGGCGUAGGCCCCAUCCAUAGCAUGGAUCUGAAGUUUGUAGAUACCAGCUAAUCCUGCCGAAGACGAAGGCAGGGCGGAGCCUACCCCCCGCAUGGACAGGGCCAACCUGGUGGUGGUGGGGAGGAGGAGGAUGGAGGGAAAUGACAGCGGCGGUGGUAUCUGCAAACACAAAAUAGGAUACCAGACCCCUGUACUGCAGGAUAGAGCUGAAUGUGGCAGCGCUGGACAGGUGUUUAAUGGUUUCUUCUGAGCAGGAAGACCCUGACUGUGCUGCUGGAUCUACUGGGAAGUGAACGGCAACAGUGAUGGAGCCACAAUCCAGACCCUGGUGUUUCUCUUCUGUCUGCCAGCGGUACAUCAUACAGAUGGUCUCCAGAGUGUUUGAGAUGUGCCUCGUUCCACUGUCACCACAUUGUCCUCCGAGUCUCUGAGGAGGUGCUGGCCAUUCACCAAGAGACUGACCUCCUGAAGACCCCAGAACACGUGGAGGCAGGGCCGGGCUCAAACUGAUGUUGUUUUCUGAUGUUAAACCUAAGCUAUGUUGUAAAUGGUUGUAAAAAGUACUUUCUGUUAUGUAUAGAACAUUUUGUUUUAAUGUGUAAAAAAGUAUUUAC